CCAAGACAAAAUGUGACUCCCAUCCCAAGUGCCGGAAAAACCAAAGAUCGAACGCGAACUCGGCGUGUUUCGCAUUUACACGCUUCCGAUGUUUUUCAUGUUAUUUCGUCGAAACUAAAAACAUCCAAAAACCAAGGACAUACUUCAAGUCUUAACCGCAACAAACUACGACACAACAGCAAUAGCAGACAGUAGAACCAAAACAUCCUCCUUUGUCCCUUGUCCUAAAAUCCCACAGAACCCCGCGCCUACGCCAAUCUCCAAUUUCUUCACUCCUUUUUAGAUCUUUCUUUCUUCACCGAUUCUUUACCUUUUUGUUUCUAGAUUUUCUUAGUGUACAGCGAGGGAGAGAUGUUGGCUGGACAGGUGGUGAAAGUAAAGAGUGAGACACUCCAGACAUGCAUGACAUGUCCUCUUUGUAAGAAGUUGCUAAGGGAUGCUACCACUAUAUCUAUGUGCCUUCAUACGUUUUGCAGGAAGUGUAUAUAUGAAAAGCUCUCAGAUGAAGAGGUAGACUGCUGUCCUGUAUGCAAUAUUGA
RNAcentral lists this unclassified non-coding RNA (539 nucleotides) under Hevea brasiliensis (rubber tree). The record is from RNAcentral. Lineage: Eukaryota; Viridiplantae; Streptophyta; Magnoliopsida; Malpighiales; Euphorbiaceae.